AAUAAGCUAUUUAAGAGCGUAUGGGGGAUGCCUAGGCUCUCAGAGGCGAAGAAGGACGUGAUAAGCUGCGAUAAGCUGCGGGGAUUGGCACACACAAUUUGAUCCGCAGAUUUCCGAAUGGGGAAACCCACUAUAUUGAAGAUAUAGUAUCCGUUAAGGAGGUAAACCCAGGGAACUGAAACAUCUAAGUACCUGGAGGAAAAGAAAACAAAAGUGAUUCCGUUAGUAGUGGCGAGCGAACGCGGAUUAGCCCAAACCAAAGUUGUUUCGGCAAUUUUGGGGUUGUAGGACCACGACNUUGAAUGUUCAAUGAAUUAGAAUUCUUUGGAAAAAGAAACCAUAGAGGGUGAUAGUCCCGUAUAAGUAAAGACAAUUAUUCAUAGUGGUAUCCUGAGUAGCGCGGGACACGUGUAAUCCUGUGUGAAUCUGGCGGGACCAUCCGCUAAGGCUAAAUACU
Molecule: ribosomal RNA, 457 nt
Filed under: uncultured Flavobacteriaceae bacterium
Lineage: Bacteria; Pseudomonadati; Bacteroidota; Flavobacteriia; Flavobacteriales; Flavobacteriaceae
Description: bacterial LSU rRNA
Rfam family: Bacterial large subunit ribosomal RNA
Source: RNAcentral